Molecule: ribosomal RNA, 440 nt
Filed under: uncultured bacterium
Lineage: Bacteria
Description: partial 16S ribosomal RNA
Rfam family: Bacterial small subunit ribosomal RNA
Source: RNAcentral
CCUACGGGUGGCAGCAGUAGGGAAUAUUGCUCAAUGGGGGAAACUCUGAAGCAGCAACGCCGCGUGGAGGAUGAAGGUUUUCGGAUUGUAAACUCCUUUUGUUAGAGAAGAUAAUGACGGUAUCUAACGAAUAAGCACCGGCUAAUUCCGUGCCAGCAGCCGCGGUAAUACGGAGGGUGCAAGCGUUAUUCGGAACCACUGGGCGUAAAGAGCGCGUAGGCGGGAUAGCAAGUCAGAGGUGAAAUCCUAUGGCUUAACCGUAGAACUGCAUUUGAAACUGUUAUUCUAGAGUAUGGGAGAGGUAGGUGGAAUGCUUGGUGUAGGGGUAAAAUGCGUAGAGAUCAAGAGGAAUACUCAUUGCGAAGGCAGCCUACUAGACCAUAACUGACGCUGAUGCGCGAAAGCGUGGGGAGCAAACAGGAUUAGAUACCCCGGUAGUC